This 253-nucleotide ribosomal RNA is filed under the name uncultured bacterium. RNAcentral's name for it is "partial 16S ribosomal RNA". It matches the Rfam family "Bacterial small subunit ribosomal RNA", at positions 524 to 776 of the family's 1533-position model. The record is from RNAcentral.
UACAGAGGUGGCAAGCGUUGUUCGGAAUUACUGGGCGUAAAGGGCGCGUAGGCGGCUUGGUCAGUCCCGUGUGAAAUCCCUCGGCUCAACUGAGGAACUGCACGGGAAACUGCCUGGCUUGAGUUCGGGAGAGGGAAGCGGAAUUCCAGGUGUAGCGGUGAAAUGCGUAGAUAUCAAGAGGAACACCUGCGGCGAAGGCGGGUUGCUGGGCCGACACUGACGCUGAGGCGCGAAAGCUAGGGGAGCGAACGGG